Molecule: non-coding RNA, 218 nt
Organism: Peptoniphilus lacrimalis DNF00528
Lineage: Bacteria; Bacillati; Bacillota; Tissierellia; Tissierellales; Peptoniphilaceae
Source: Rfam
AUAAACUUUAUAAAAAGAAGAGUAGUUGGAGGGAGUUUUUACAGAGAGCUUCGUUUGGUGAAAGAAGCAAAAUGAACUUUGAUGAACAUGGUCUUUUUCUAGGAUUUAUCAAUAUGAGAUAUUUACGGGAGCUCCCGUUACAGAGCUAGAGUAUGUUGGUACUUGAGAGUGGCAUUUAUGCAAAAUAGGUGGUAACGCGGAAAUAUUUCGUCCUUGUU